Molecule: ribosomal RNA, 433 nt
Filed under: uncultured bacterium
Lineage: Bacteria
Description: partial 16S ribosomal RNA
Rfam family: Bacterial small subunit ribosomal RNA
Source: RNAcentral
AACGAACGCUGGCGGCAUGCCUAACACAUGCAAGUCGAACGAGACCUUCGGGUCUAGUGGCGCACGGGUGCGUAACGCGUGGGAACCUGCCCCUAGGUUCGGAAUAACUCCCCGAAAGGGGUGCUAAUACCAGAUAAUGUCUUCGGACCAAAGAUUUAUCGCCUUUGGAUGGGCCCGCGUUGGAUUAGCUAGUUGGUAGGGUAAAAGCCUACCAAGGCGACGAUCCAUAGCUGGUCUGAGAGGAUGAUCAGCCACACUGGGACUGAGACACGGCCCAGACUCCUACGGGAGGCAGCAGUGGGGAAUAUUGGACAAUGGGCGAAAGCCUGAUCCAGCAAUGCCGCGUGAGUGAUGAAGGCCUUAGGGUUGUAAAGCUCUUUUACCCGGGAUGAUAAUGACAGUACCGGGAGAAUAAGCUCCGGCUAACUCCGUG